Molecule: ribosomal RNA, 434 nt
Filed under: uncultured Pseudoflavonifractor sp.
Lineage: Bacteria; Bacillati; Bacillota; Clostridia; Eubacteriales; Oscillospiraceae
Description: bacterial SSU rRNA
Rfam family: Bacterial small subunit ribosomal RNA
Source: RNAcentral
ACGGGAGGCAGCAGUGGGGAAUAUUGGACAGUGGGGGAAACCCUGAUCCAGCGACGCCGCGUGAGUGAAGAAGUAUUUCGGUAUGUAAAGCUCUAUCAGCAAGGAAGAAAAUGACGGUACUUGACUAAGAAGCCACGGCUAACUACGUGCCAGCAGCCGCGGUAAUACGUAGGUGGCAAGCGUUAUCCGGAUUUACUGGGUGUAAAGGGCGCGUAGGCGGGGAAGCAAGUCAGAUGUGAAAUCCAUGGGCUCAACCCAUGAACUGCAUUUGAAACUGUUUCUCUUGAGUGCUGGAGAGGCAGAUGGAAUUCCUAGUGUAGCGGUGAAAUGCGUAGAUAUUAGGAAGAACACCAGUGGCGAAGGCGAUCUACUGGACAGUAACUGACGCUGAGGCGCGAAAGCGUGGGGAGCAAACAGGAUUAGAUACCCUGGUA